CUCCCCUUUUCUACAUUCAAGCCGGGUUUCGAAGAGAGAGAGCACAGCCCUGGACUUUUCUCAUGUGACCGAUUUUAGCGGUACAUGGUGCACUGUCAUCGGGCUGUUCUCUCUCUCUUCUAGACCCUACUUGGAUGUGUUUCUACUGC
RNAcentral lists this microRNA precursor (149 nucleotides) under Physcomitrium patens. RNAcentral's name for it is "Physcomitrella patens miR529a stem-loop (ppt-MIR529a)". Its record names the gene ppt-MIR529a. Lineage: Eukaryota; Viridiplantae; Streptophyta; Bryopsida; Funariales; Funariaceae. The record is from miRBase by way of RNAcentral.